UACGUAGGGUGCGAGCGUUAAUCGGAAUUACUGGGCGUAAAGCGUGCGCAGGCGGUUUUGAAAGACAGGCGUGAAAUCCCCGGGCUCAACCUGGGAACUGCGCUUGUGACUCCAAGACUAGAGUACGGCAGAGGGGGGUAGAAUUCCACGUGUAGCAGUGAAAUGCGUAGAGAUGUGGAGGAAUACCGAUGGCGAAGGCAGCCCCCUGGGCCAGUACUGACGCUCAUGCACGAAAGCGUGGGGAGCAAACAGG
This 253-nucleotide ribosomal RNA is filed under the name uncultured bacterium. RNAcentral describes it as "partial 16S ribosomal RNA". It matches the Rfam family "Bacterial small subunit ribosomal RNA", at positions 524 to 776 of the family's 1533-position model. The record is from RNAcentral.